Amblyraja radiata (thorny skate) is the source of this 126-nucleotide long non-coding RNA. RefSeq lists it as uncharacterized. NCBI's taxonomy places the organism in Eukaryota, Metazoa, Chordata, Chondrichthyes, Rajiformes, Rajidae. The record is from RefSeq and is a predicted model, not a curated record. The transcript has 3 exons.
GCUACUAGGAUCUUUGGUUUGCCUGCUUGGCUGUGGGAGAAGAAUAUGAACAGAGAACAGGGAAGAGAUAAGACUUCUGUCUUCCAUUACAGUGAGAAGGUAUUUGGGGAUUCACUGUGAUGGAUG